GGUUAAGCGACUAAGCGUACACGGUGGAUGCCCUGGCAGUCAGAGGCGAUGAAGGACGUGCUAAUCUGCGAUAAGCGUCGGUAAGGUGAUAUGAACCGUUAUAACCGGCGAUUUCCGAAUGGGGAAACCCAGUGUGUUUCGAUACACUAUCAUUAACUGAAUCCAUAGGUUAAUGAGGCGAACCGGGGGAACUGAAACAUCUAAGUACCCCGAGGAAAAGAAAUCAACCGAGAUUCCCCCAGUAGCGGCGAGCGAACGGGGAGCAGCCCAGAGCCUGAAUCAGUGUGUGUGUUAGUGGAAGCGUCUGGAAAGGCGCGCGAUACAGGGUGACAGCCCCGUACACAAAAAUGCACAUGCUGUGAGCUCGAUGAGUAGGGCGGGACACGUGGUAUCCUGUCUGAAUAUGGGGGGACCAUCCUCCAAGGCUAAAUACUCCUGACUGACCGAUAGUGAACCAGUACCGUGAGGGAAAGGCGAAAAGAACCCCGGCGAGGGGAGUGAAAAAGAACCUGAAACCGUGUACGUACAAGCAGUGGGAGCACGCUUAGGCGUGUGACUGCGUACCUUUUGUAUAAUGGGUCAGCGACUUAUAUUCUGUAGCAAGGUUAACCGAAUAGGGGAGCCGAAGGGAAACCGAGUCUUAACUGGGCGUUAAGUUGCAGGGUAUAGACCCGAAACCCGGUGAUCUAGCCAUGGGCAGGUUGAAGGUUGGGUAACACUAACUGGAGGACCGAACCGACUAAUGUUGAAAAAUUAGCGGAUGACUUGUGGCUGGGGGUGAAAGGCCAAUCAAACCGGGAGAUAGCUGGUUCUCCCCGAAAGCUAUUUAGGUAGCGCCUCGUGAAUUCAUCUCCGGGGGUAGAGCACUGUUUCGGCAAGGGGGUCAUCCCGACUUACCAACCCGAUGCAAACUGCGAAUACCGGAGAAUGUUAUCACGGGAGACACACGGCGGGUGCUAACGUCCGUCGUGAAGAGGGAAACAACCCAGACCGCCAGCUAAGGUCCCAAAGUCAUGGUUAAGUGGGAAACGAUGUGGGAAGGCCCAGACAGCCAGGAUGUUGGCUUAGAAGCAGCCAUCAUUUAAAGAAAGCGUAAUAGCUCACUGGUCGAGUCGGCCUGCGCGGAAGAUGUAACGGGGCUAAACCAUGCACCGAAGCUGCGGCAGCGACGCUUAUGCGUUGUUGGGUAGGGGAGCGUUCUGUAAGCCUGCGAAGGUGUACUGUGAGGUAUGCUGGAGGUAUCAGAAGUGCGAAUGCUGACAUAAGUAACGAUAAAGCGGGUGAAAAGCCCGCUCGCCGGAAGACCAAGGGUUCCUGUCCAACGUUAAUCGGGGCAGGGUGAGUCGACCCCUAAGGCGAGGCCGAAAGGCGUAGUCGAUGGGAAACAGGUUAAUAUUCCUGUACUUGGUGUUACUGCGAAGGGGGGACGGAGAAGGCUAUGUUGGCCGGGCGACGGUUGUCCCGGUUUAAGCGUGUAGGCUGGUUUUCCAGGCAAAUCCGGAAAAUCAAGGCUGAGGCGUGAUGACGAGGCACUACGGUGCUGAAGCAACAAAUGCCCUGCUUCCAGGAAAAGCCUCUAAGCAUCAGGUAACAUCAAAUCGUACCCCAAACCGACACAGGUGGUCAGGUAGAGAAUACCAAGGCGCUUGAGAGAACUCGGGUGAAGGAACUAGGCAAAAUGGUGCCGUAACUUCGGGAGAAGGCACGCUGAUACGUAGGUGAAGUCCCUCGCGGAUGGAGCUGAAAUCAGUCGAAGAUACCAGCUGGCUGCAACUGUUUAUUAAAAACACAGCACUGUGCAAACACGAAAGUGGACGUAUACGGUGUGACGCCUGCCCGGUGCCGGAAGGUUAAUUGAUGGGGUCAGCGCAAGCGAAGCUCUUGAUCGAAGCCCCGGUAAACGGCGGCCGUAACUAUAACGGUCCUAAGGUAGCGAAAUUCCUUGUCGGGUAAGUUCCGACCUGCACGAAUGGCGUAAUGAUGGCCAGGCUGUCUCCACCCGAGACUCAGUGAAAUUGAACUCGCUGUGAAGAUGCAGUGUACCCGCGGCAAGACGGAAAGACCCCGUGAACCUUUACUAUAGCUUGACACUGAACAUUGAGCCUUGAUGUGUAGGAUAGGUGGGAGGCUUUGAAGUGUGGACGCCAGUCUGCAUGGAGCCGACCUUGAAAUACCACCCUUUAAUGUUUGAUGUUCUAACGUGGACCCGUAAUCCGGGUUGCGGACAGUGUCUGGUGGGUAGUUUGACUGGGGCGGUCUCCUCCUAAAGAGUAACGGAGGAGCACGAAGGUUGGCUAAUCCUGGUCGGACAUCAGGAGGUUAGUGCAAUGGCAUAAGCCAGCUUGACUGCGAGCGUGACGGCGCGAGCAGGUGCGAAAGCAGGUCAUAGUGAUCCGGUGGUUCUGAAUGGAAGGGCCAUCGCUCAACGGAUAAAAGGUACUCCGGGGAUAACAGGCUGAUACCGCCCAAGAGUUCAUAUCGACGGCGGUGUUUGGCACCUCGAUGUCGGCUCAUCACAUCCUGGGGCUGAAGUAGGUCCCAAGGGUAUGGCUGUUCGCCAUUUAAAGUGGUACGCGAGCUGGGUUUAGAACGUCGUGAGACAGUUCGGUCCCUAUCUGCCGUGGGCGCUGGAGAACUGAGGGGGGCUGCUCCUAGUACGAGAGGACCGGAGUGGACGCAUCACUGGUGUUCGGGUUGUCAUGCCAAUGGCACUGCCCGGUAGCUAAAUGCGGAAGAGAUAAGUGCUGAAAGCAUCUAAGCACGAAACUUGCCCCGAGAUGAGUUCUCCCUGACCCUUUAAGGGUCCUGAAGGAACGUUGAAGACGACGACGUUGAUAGGCCGGGUGUGUAAGCGCAGCGAUGCGUUGAGCUAACCGGUACUAAUGAACCGUGAGGCUUAACCUU
Molecule: ribosomal RNA, 2904 nt
Filed under: Escherichia coli
Lineage: Bacteria; Pseudomonadati; Pseudomonadota; Gammaproteobacteria; Enterobacterales; Enterobacteriaceae
Description: 23S ribosomal RNA
Rfam family: Bacterial large subunit ribosomal RNA
Source: RNAcentral